RNAcentral lists this ribosomal RNA (253 nucleotides) under uncultured bacterium. RNAcentral describes it as "partial 16S ribosomal RNA". It matches the Rfam family "Bacterial small subunit ribosomal RNA", at positions 524 to 776 of the family's 1533-position model. The record is from RNAcentral.
GACGUAGGGCGCGAGCGUUGUCCGGAUUUAUUGGGCGUAAAGAGCUCGUAGGCGGUUUGUCACGUCUGCUGUGAAAACUGGAGGCUCAACCUCCAGCCUGCAGUGGGUACGGGCAGACUAGAGUGCGGUAGGGGAGAUUGGAAUUCCUGGUGUAGCGGUGGAAUGCGCAGAUAUCAGGAGGAACUCCGAUGGCGAAGGCAGAUCUCUGGGCCGUAACUGACGCUGAGGAGCGAAAGCAUGGGGAGCGAACAGG